GAGCGAUGAGGACAAUAACGCAUCUUGUGAUGCAGGGCACAUCACGACUGUCAGAUUAUUAUCUGACGGUACCGGCGUUCCUGAGCUC
This is a small nucleolar RNA of Phoenix dactylifera (date palm), 88 nucleotides long. RefSeq annotates it as small nucleolar RNA snoR114. NCBI's taxonomy places the organism in Eukaryota, Viridiplantae, Streptophyta, Magnoliopsida, Arecales, Arecaceae. The record is from RefSeq and is a predicted model, not a curated record.